RNAcentral lists this long non-coding RNA (1500 nucleotides) under Cricetulus griseus (Chinese hamster). Its description in RNAcentral is "lncRNA (ENSCGRG00015033071.1)". The record is from RNAcentral. Lineage: Eukaryota; Metazoa; Chordata; Mammalia; Rodentia; Cricetidae.
CUGGAAGCGUGUGAGUGUGUGUGUGUGUGACUGUGUGUGUGCGCGCGUGUGUAUGUUUGUGUGUGAGUGUGACUGUGUGUGCGCGCGCACGUGCAUGAGUGUGAGUGUGAGAGCGUGUGAGAGUUUGUGCGUGUGUAUGUUUGUGCGUGAGUGUGACAGUGAGUGUGUGCACGCACGUGCAUGAGUGUGUGAGUGUGAGAGCGUGUGAGAGUUUGUGUAUGUGUGUGAGUGUGAGAGCGUGAGAGUUUGUGUGCGUGUGUAUGUUUGUGUGUGUGACAGUGUGAGUGUGUGCGCGCACGUGCGUGAGUGUGUGAGUGUGAGAACGUGUAAGAGUGUGUGUGCGCGUGUGUAUGUUUGUGUGUGAGCGUGAGAGUGUGUGCGUGUGCGCGCGCACGUGUGUGUGGUGUGUGAGUGUCUCUGUGUGUGAGUGUGAGUGUGCGUGAGUGUGCGUGAGUGUGUAAGUGCAUGAUGUGUGCAUGUGUAAGUGUGUGAGGGAGUGUGAGAGUGUGUGCAUGUGUGUGAGAGUGUAUGCAUGUGAGUGUGUGAGAGUGUGUCUGAGUGUGUGUGUGUGUGUGUGUGCGCGCGCGCAUGUGCUGCUUUGACAAAGGAGGGGCUCCGAUCGAGAAACCAGAUGUCGCUUCCGGACCCAAAGGCUAAGCCGGUGGCAGCCUCAGCCGCUAGCUGGAGCCUGCGGUGUGGGUGUGGGACAGUCACUCCUCCCCGCCGGGGCAGGGGCGCUGGUGCUCAGGGGCCCACGGUUGCAGCCUGGAGUGAAUGGUUUGUCGCCUCCUCCAAAAAUAGCAGAGAGCGGGAGUUGGAGUGUUAGCCUUUUCUCUUAGUGGACAGUAGCCAAAAGAGGGAUGGAGUCAAAGCAUCCAGAAGGCGUUAAAAACUGCUUUGAUGAGAUGGAAGUCACCUAUGCUCACAUUCCAUGGACCAAAAUCAGGCAAAUGGGCAAGUUCAAAGUCAGUGAUGCCACCAUUGUACUUUGCAGCCAAUAUGAUAGAAGAGCUCUGCAUUCUGAAAGUUUCUUGAGCAGAACCGUAGAAGGAACACAAAGGUCUCUAUGAUUUUCCACACCUUGCUAGUAUCUUUUUACUUCUUAAACUCUUUCCCAGUUCCUGAAGGGCAUGGUAUCAUGUUCUCCUGGCUGUCCAAGUACCUUAGACUGUGGGAUCUGGAGUUUCUAUCAAGGCUGCCCCUGUGGUGUAGAAGAAUAUGUAAAUAUCUUCUCCCUAUAUUUUGGCUUCCCCAAAGUGAGUGCAAAAUUCUUCCUUUGCCCAUGCUAUCCAUACAAGAGAGGAAGUUAGUUUGAAUGCUGGAGACAUCCAUGGAGCUGUUUUCAUUCUUUCUCUGCUUCACCCCACAUGAGCUGGAAGUUUGCUGAAGGUCCUACUCUAUGUAGUUAUUGGAUUAGAGAGGUUUAAAGAUAAGAGGGCCAUUCUUAGCUAUUUGGCUUGGGGCUUGUCAUGUAAGUUUAAUCAUGUAUGUUACAGAGGA